UGAACGCUGGCGGCAUGCUUUACACAUGCAAGUCGAACGGCAGCGGGGGGCUUCGGCCUGCCGGCGAGUGGCGAACGGGUGAGUAAUGCAUCGGAACGUGCCCAUGUCGUGGGGGAUAACGUAGCGAAAGCUACGCUAAUACCGCAUACGCCCUGAGGGGGAAAGCGGGGGAUUCUUCGGAACCUCGCGCGAUUGGAGCGGCCGAUGUCGGAUUAGCUAGUAGGUGAGGUAAAGGCUCACCUAGGCGACGAUCCGUAGCGGGUCUGAGAGGAUGAUCCGCCACACUGGGACUGAGACACGGCCCAGACUCCUACGGGAGGCAGCAGUGGGGAAUUUUGGACAAUGGGCGCAAGCCUGAUCCAGCCAUGCCGCGUGAGUGAAGAAGGCCUCGGUGUAGAUCUUCGUCCGGGUACGGAAGUACGUAGGUCGUC
This 431-nucleotide ribosomal RNA is filed under the name uncultured bacterium. Its description in RNAcentral is "bacterial SSU rRNA". It matches the Rfam family "Bacterial small subunit ribosomal RNA", at positions 30 to 468 of the family's 1533-position model. The record is from RNAcentral.